RNAcentral lists this long non-coding RNA (1544 nucleotides) under Anas platyrhynchos platyrhynchos (common mallard). RNAcentral's name for it is "lncRNA (ENSAPLG00000023816.1)". Lineage: Eukaryota; Metazoa; Chordata; Aves; Anseriformes; Anatidae. The record is from RNAcentral.
CAGGCUUCUGCUACGUAUCUUGUAAAAUCUGAUGAUUUUUUUGACAACAUGGCCUGGCAGAAGUUAAGUUCAACAAGCUAAUGAAUACUUCUGAAUGACCUUCGUUGUGUCUUCCACUGACUUCUGGCACUGAGAUACAAAUUCAGAAAUAUGGAAAGAAUCCUUGGGGGGGGAUCUGGAUGGAAAAUCUCACUCGUUUUACAAAACCUUGCUGCUGAUUCCAGUUGUCCCUCUGCAUGGCUCACUCUUCUUGGCUGCUUUCAGCACAGAUUAGUGACCUUCAACCCUGACAAAUAUGUUGCCCUCGUGCUUUUAUGAUCUCCUAAUCUCUCAGAAGGUGACACAUUCUGAGAUUACAGCAAAUGCACUAGGAUCCCAGUGGGAGCACAGUACAGAUGCAGCUGUGAUGAAUGCCAAUUAAAACAGUAGCAGCAUGUGACAGCUGUUUACAAUUACAUUUAAUUAGCAAGUUUUAUACACUCUGUUAUCAGACACAUCUUUGAAGUACGCAGCAACAGUGGGCCCUGAACCUUUGAUCCCCUUACUCUGUGGAGUAGCCUUCUGCCAUGCAACUACUGCACGAAGGGCUUUAGCACAAAAACUUUGCUUGAUUUGUUAGUGUCUCCCUAAAAAAUUCCCCCUAAAGGACAAAAGAACCUGAACUUUUGGGGGAAGGGAGGGAAGGCAGUAAUUUGAGCACAGGACACUGCCCAAAGUAUCCUCACUUGGGAUAGUGGAACACAAUUUAUCUAGAGUGUUUCCUAUCCCAGUAAUAAAUGUUGAACCUUCUUUAUGAAAAGAGAAGCUAAACUCUGCAAGCAGACACAGGAUGUCUUCUCUCCUCCUUGCACCCCAGCAAAAGAAGAGCUGCUGCUCAGAGCCGGUUUCCUUUGCACGAAGCAGGUGGAGGCACGCCAGCUGCACCUAUCCCGCGCAAAUAAACACCAACGAGGGAUGCUGCCAGGCCCAGCCACCGAUGCUAUCAGGCUGGGAGAGCGGCCACUGGCAUGCUGGAGCCUGUGCUGUGCCAGCAGUCCUAUCCCUGGGUGGCUGCAGGCAUCCACCGGGAGCCCCUCUCCGGGUGGGAUCCGGACGGAUGUGGUCAAACGGCUGCACUUGGCCCUCAGGCUAAAGAACAGGCCCUGGCACCACUCACUGCAGCUCUCAUAAGCACAGCAAUUAACCUCAGCCUUAACUAGGUCGCUUGAGCAACAGCAGGUAGUCUGGGCUGCAGCACAGGCUGGGCAUCCAGAUAAAGCCUCAGGGCCCCAAGAGGCGUGUGCUGCCAGGAGGGUGUCUGUGCCACCAGGCUGUCACUCUGCUUCUUGUUUAAAUGAAGGUCUAUUUAGGUCACUAUUCUUACCUAAAUGAAGGUCUCACUGCUUGCUGGUAGUGAGUCCCCAAAACAAAGGUACCAUGGGAGCAGGUCCAGCACUGGGUGUCAGCAUGGAGCAGGAUGACCAGCCAUGUCCCCAGAGCACCUACUUCUAUACAUACCUGAAUCACCUUAAAGAAAGGAAAUAAAUGCUCAAAACUGACUUUCA